CGUUGCCAGGUUGCUGGUAUUAGAAGGAAGGGCUCAUCGCUUCUCAGCCUUUUGGCUAAGAUCAAGUGUAGAAGGAAGGGCUCUUGGAAGG
This 91-nucleotide microRNA precursor is filed under the name Chlorocebus sabaeus (green monkey). RNAcentral describes it as "miRNA (ENSCSAG00000027111.1)". The record is from RNAcentral. Lineage: Eukaryota; Metazoa; Chordata; Mammalia; Primates; Cercopithecidae.